RNAcentral lists this ribosomal RNA (253 nucleotides) under uncultured bacterium. RNAcentral describes it as "partial 16S ribosomal RNA". It matches the Rfam family "Bacterial small subunit ribosomal RNA", at positions 524 to 776 of the family's 1533-position model. The record is from RNAcentral.
UACGGAGGGUGCAAGCGUUAUCCGGAUUCACUGGGCUUAAAGGGUGCGUAGGAGGGCAGGUAAGUCAGUGGUGAAAUCUCCGAGCUUAACUUGGAAACUGCCGUUGAUACUAUCUGUCUUGAAUAUUGUGGAGGUGAGCGGAAUAUGUCAUGUAGCGGUGAAAUGCUUAGAUAUGACAUAGAACACCAAUUGCGAAGGCAGCUCGCUACACAUAUAUUGACUCUGAGGCACGAAAGCGUGGGGAUCAAACAGG